GACGAACGCUGGCGGCGUGCCUAAUACAUGCAAGUAGAACGCACAGUUUAUACCGUAGCUUGCUACACCAUAGACUGUGAGUUGCGAACGGGUGAGUAACGCGUAGGUAACCUGCCUGGUAGCGGGGGAUAACUAUUGGAAACGAUAGCUAAUACCGCAUAAUAUUGAUUAUUGCAUGAUAAUUGAUUGAAAGAUGCUAUUGCAUCACUACCAGAUGGACCUGCGUUGUAUUAACUAGUAGGUGAGGUAACGGCUCACCUAGGCGACGAUACAUAGCCGACCUGAGAGGGUGAUCGGCCACACUGGGACUGAGACACGGCCCAGACUCCUACGGGAGGCAGCAGUAGGGAAUCUUCGGCAAUGGACGAAAGUCUGACCGAGCAACGCCGCGUGAGUGAAGAAGGUUUUCGGAUCGUAAAGCUCUGUUGUAAGAGAAGAACGGGUGUGAGAGUGGAAAGUUCACACUGUGACGGUAUCUUACCAGAAAGGGACGGCUAACUACGUG
This 505-nucleotide ribosomal RNA is filed under the name uncultured bacterium. RNAcentral's name for it is "partial 16S ribosomal RNA". It matches the Rfam family "Bacterial small subunit ribosomal RNA", at positions 28 to 507 of the family's 1533-position model. The record is from RNAcentral.